GGUUGUUUGGCCGAGCGGUCUAAGGCGCCUGAUUCAAGAAAUUUGUUUCUUAACGCUGAUCAACACAGCGGAAUCCUCAGGUAUCGUAAGAUGCAAGAGUUCGAAUCUCUUAGCAACCA
This 119-nucleotide transfer RNA is filed under the name Lachancea lanzarotensis. It matches the Rfam family "tRNA". From Rfam's summary of the family: Transfer RNA (tRNA) molecules are approximately 80 nucleotides in length. Their secondary structure includes four short double-helical elements and three loops (D, anti-codon, and T loops). Further hydrogen bonds mediate the characteristic L-shaped molecular structure. tRNAs have two regions of fundamental functional importance: the anti-codon, which is responsible for specific mRNA codon recognition, and the 3' end, to which the tRNAs corresponding amino acid is attached (by aminoacyl-tRNA synthetases). tRNAs cope with the degeneracy of the genetic code in two manners: having more than one tRNA (with a specific anti-codon) for a particular amino acid; and 'wobble' base-pairing, i.e. permitting non-standard base-pairing at the 3rd anti-codon position. The record is from Rfam by way of RNAcentral. Lineage: Eukaryota; Fungi; Ascomycota; Saccharomycetes; Saccharomycetales; Saccharomycetaceae.